Molecule: non-coding RNA, 3994 nt
Organism: Podarcis lilfordi (Lilford's wall lizard)
Lineage: Eukaryota; Metazoa; Chordata; Lepidosauria; Squamata; Lacertidae
Source: the annotation of a GenBank genome assembly
AGGGGGUGUACCGGGUGGGUGUUGGGAUAGAUCGCAGUGUUACUUGGUGCAUACUAAGGAAGAGGCGCCUCUGGUGUUGGGCAAACAGGUUUGUAGGCUUAUUUAGUUUAUUUUUAAAUGAAUGCACCCCCCGCAACAAGAGCCUCCCUCUAACCUGGCGUGUUUUAGUUUCGUUUUUUAAAACAAGGAUGGCUAAGAUGCACUUAAAAGAAGAAGAAAAUUACAGGAAAGGAGCUUUUUCCAGACCGAGGGCCGCAUUCCCUCAUUUUGGCGGGGGCGGGCCAGGACAAUGGUGGGUGUGGCUAGGGGCAAAAGGGGGUGGAGUGUUGGAGGUGACUGCAUUUAAGCAAAGCAAAGUUCUCUACGCACAGACCUCUCCAUCGUCCAUUCUCCAUCCAGGCGAGAAAGAGACAUAAGCACCUUUUAGCGACAAAUCCCAGUCGGGCAAAGCGCCAGAGGAGGGUAUGAAGCAUGGCUGGUGGGGGCGUGGCCUACAGAAAUGGGGCGUGGCCUAAGGAGCAUCUGGGAGGCUGUACUGUGCAGUGGUACCUCGGAUUACAUACGCUUCAGGUUACAGACUCCGCUAACCCAGAAAUAGUACCUCGAGUUAAGAACUUUGCUUCAGGAUGAGAACAGAAAUUGUGUUCCGGCGGCAGCAGGAGGCCCCAUUAGCUAAAGUGGUGCUUCAGGUUAAGAACGGUUUCAGGUUAAGAACAGACCUCCGGAACAAAUUAAGCACUUAACCCAAGGUACCACUGUACUAGGCCCCUGGGCUUUAAGUUCCCCAUCUGUCCUCUAUCACCCAGGGUUGCCAUAUUUCAGAAAGGGCCCAGGGCCACCCACUGAGCUUCACAACUUUCCUGAUCCUACUCCGAUCCUUUAUAACUGCUGUUCUUCUAAUUCCUGAAAAGGAGUUGGUUCUGAUAUCUCCCUUCUCGGGGCUAGGGUGGAAAUGGCCCCAGUUAAUAUUUAAAACUGUUGAGGAGGAAGGCGAAGGCGGGUAAGCUGUCAAGUUCGAUUUGGAUCUCAAAACCACCUACAGAUCUUGCAAAAUGUGGAUUAGAAGGGAAUGGGGAGUGGAAAGGCUGCCUGCUGUGCCAGAGAUCAUAGAGUGUAGCCUAGAAAAGGGAAUGCUAGAAUAUAAAACUCUAUAUUCUGAGCGACUGAACGAUAGGCACAGGUCUUGCUACCGCUAUACAAAAAUUCACUUAUCCAAAUCAGUACCCAAACACACUGCAGGUUCAGAUAUCCAAACAGCCAGACCUGCAUAUAUACUGUCUUAUUUUUUUGUGUUUUGCUGGUCCAUGGCAGCCAUUUCACCAGAAACCACGGCAGGAUGGAGCAAGGGGGAGAGAUCGGACAAAUAAGAUCGCACUUUCCCCAUCUUUCCUGGCUUUUUGCAAGAUUUCAGUAGGCUUUCCAGGGUUUUUCUGCCAUCUUAGCGUCAAAAUUUAAGCCUCUGCCAAUCAAACACCACUAAUGACAAGGGCUGAGAACCAUGAACAUGGGCUUCUUAAUUAUGGGUAGGCAAACUAAGGCCCAGGGGCCAGAUCUGGCCCAAUCGCCUUCUAAAUCCAGCCCAUGGAUGGUCCGGGAAUCAGCUUGUUUUUACAUGAGUAGAACGUGUGCUUUUAUUUAAAAUGCAUCUCUGGGUUAUUUGUGGGGCUGUGAUAGGAAUUUUAUGGUCUUAGAUAUAUGGUAAUGUUCAUAAGCGUACCAACUGAGCACAUACAUAGAUCAGCACAGGAAGACCGACCUGGAAUCAUUUUGAUUCCUAAACUAAGCAAAUGUUUUCUCUGCAAGGUCAAAGUGGGAAACCUCCCAUUGUCUUUUCCUUCACAAAUCUUGUCUUAAGGGCACAUUUAAGAUAUGAAUGGGGUGUGAGCCUGUGACCUGGCCCAGGAACUAAGUAUUUAUCACUACAAAAGACUGGCCAGGCUCCCCAGGCAAUCCAAUCAAGUAACCUGCCAGACAGGAGAUAAACAACCACAGGAGAAAAACAGCAUUCAAAUUUCUGUUUAGACCGCCUUUUCUGUGAUGUAGGUGUGAUGUUUCUGGGGGUGGUCUUGAUCUACAGGGUAGCAAUUUCAAAAGUCUUUAUAAGGCCUUGCGCACCAUUGUUCUGGGUUCCUCCUCUCUCCUGCGGGUGAGGGGAGCACCCUGUUGCAACAGAUCAAUAAAGAUCUGGCUUACUAGCUGCUUUGCUUCUCAGUAUUCUCUGGUUGGCCUCUGUUAUUCUCUCCUACCAAUAGGGAACCUAUACAAGGACUCUAUAUGGGCUCUUGGAUACCCCAUAAGGGGAAAGGGCAAUUUUUUGUUUACAACAGGGCAUAGGAAUUCAUUCAUAUAUAUUUUUCCAAAGUACAGUCCGGCCCCCCACAAGGUCUGAGGGACAGAGGACCGGCCCCCUGCUGAAAAAGUUUGCUGACCCCUGUUCUUAGUCAAUAAAGGUAAAGGGACCCCUGACCAUUAGGACCAGUUGUGGCUGACUCUGGGGUUGCGGCGCUCGUCUCGCUUUAUUGGCCGAGGGAGCCGGCGUACAGCUUCCAGGUCAUGUGGCCAGCAUGACUAAGCCACUUCUGGCGAACCAGAGCAGCGCACGGAAACUCCAUUUACCUUCCCGCCAAAGCAGUACCUAUUUAUCUACUUGCACUUUGACGUGCUUUCGAACUGCUAGGUGGGCAGGAGCUGGGACAGAGCAACGGGAGCUCACCCCGUCACGGGGAUUCGAACCACCAACCUUUUGAUCGGCAAGUCCUAGGCUCUGUGGUUUAACCCACAGCACCACCCACGUCCCUUCUUAGUCAAUAAGGCAACCCAUUUUCAAACCUCUUCUCUGCUCACCUCUUUCAAAGCGUUAUUUGAGGGAUCAAACUCUUGCAAAAGGCCGGCUUUUUAUAAAACGCCACCAUGAGCUCCUGUGUAGUGUAAACACGGCUGGACAACCGUUGUGGGUGUGCCAAUCACGAGAGCCUUGUGUUCCCUCUGCUGAGAAAUUCCUGCUUCGGAAUCUAGAAGUGGCAAGACGGGUCUGGCUGUUCCCCAUCUCUGGACGACACCACUGUGUUUUGAUGCACCGUGCUGAUGCCAGCGAGGCCUGGCACGGGCAAGAGAAAACUGGCAUCACUUAGACUUCAAAACACCUACCUGUUCUAUUCUUUUUGUAAAAUCAUUCCUUUAUGUACCUGACUGUGUUAAUUGCUUCUCACGAGCAUAUCUCACAGCAAUCUCACAGUUGCUAUUAAACUGCAGUUUCAUAUGCAAAAAACCCCAAUUAAAUGCAAUUCCAUUCAUCUUUUUUUAAAAAAAUGUAUAUCAAAUUCUCUGUAUAGAGACAGUUAAAAACAAAUCCAUAUGUGAAGACAGUUCCAUAGAUUAAAUGCAAAUUUUAAUCCAAGGCAGAUACAUUGUACACACUCCAAAUAUUUAAAGCUGCACACACACCCCUCCAAUAAUACUGUAUUUUACCCCUUACAGAGCUACAAAUCCCAACACAAAAAAUAGUUCCCAGUACACUUUGGUGGUGGUGGUGAAAUGUGCUUUAAAUGUGCGGUGUGUGAACAGCCGAAGAAAAUAUAGGUUGGCAGUCAACUAUGUUUUCUUAAUCAAAAACAGACCCACUUCAAAUAAUGACAAUGGCAAAAUUAGACCCAUUGACUUCAAUGAGUCUGACUUUGUUGAGGGGUCAUUCCUUUCUAUGUGCUUACUCUUGAGCAAAGCUUAGCUGAGCACCACCCAUAAUUCUGCCUCCGGGAAUAUUGUUUCCACACAUAGGCAAGUGUAAUCAGUUGAAAUGAAUUUGAUUGGGCUGUAGCUGUCACCUCAUAGGUCCCUGCCCCAAUGAGCUUACAAAUUGCAUUUCGACUAUGCCAGGUGGAGUGAGAGAGAGUGACUAUGGGCAGAGCAGGCAUCCACCUCUGCCAUCCUUUGCCAACUCAGCUGAUUCCUGCCCUGGAUCCACACCCAUGGAGAGAAAAAGUCGUUCCAGUGCUGU